GACGAACGCUGGCGGCGUGCCUAAUACAUGCAAGUUGAGCGCUGAAGGUUGGUACUUGUACCAACUGGAUGAGCAGCGAACGGGUGAGUAACGCGUGGGGAAUCUGCCUUUGAGCGGGGGACAACAUUUGGAAACGAAUGCUAAUACCGCAUAAAAACUUUAAACACAAGUUUUAAGUUUGAAAGAUGCAAUUGCAUCACUCAAAGAUGAUCCCGCGUUGUAUUAGCUAGUUGGUGAGGUAAAGGCUCACCAAGGCGAUGAUACAUAGCCGACCUGAGAGGGUGAUCGGCAACAUUGGGACUGAGACACGGCCAAACAUCCUACGGGAGGCAGCAGUAGGGAAUCUUCGGCAAUGGACGAAAGUCUGACCGAGCAACGCCGCGUGAGUGCCGAAGGUUUUCGGAUCGUAAAACUCUGUUGGUAGAGAAGAACGUUGGUGAGAGUGGCAAGCUAAUCAAGUGACGGUAACUACACAGAAAGGGACGGCUAACUCCGUG
Molecule: ribosomal RNA, 497 nt
Filed under: uncultured bacterium
Lineage: Bacteria
Description: partial 16S ribosomal RNA
Rfam family: Bacterial small subunit ribosomal RNA
Source: RNAcentral